UAACACGUGGGGAACCUGCCCCAUAGUCUGGGAUACCACUUGGAAACAGGUGCUAAUACCGGAUAAGAAAGCAGAUCGCAUGAUCAGCUUUUAAAAGGCGGCGUAAGCUGUCGCUAUGGGAUGGCCCCGCGGUGCAUUAGUUAGUUGGUAAGGUAAAGGCUUACCAAGGCGAUGAUGCAUAGCCGAGUUGAGAGACUGAUCGGCCACAUUGGGACUGAGACACGGCCCAAACUCCUACGGGAGGCAGCAGCC
Molecule: ribosomal RNA, 252 nt
Filed under: uncultured Lactobacillus sp.
Lineage: Bacteria; Bacillati; Bacillota; Bacilli; Lactobacillales; Lactobacillaceae
Description: partial 16S ribosomal RNA
Rfam family: Bacterial small subunit ribosomal RNA
Source: RNAcentral